This 448-nucleotide ribosomal RNA is filed under the name uncultured bacterium. Its description in RNAcentral is "bacterial SSU rRNA". It matches the Rfam family "Bacterial small subunit ribosomal RNA", at positions 355 to 825 of the family's 1533-position model. The record is from RNAcentral.
UGGGGAAUAUUGGACAAUGGGCGCAAGCCUGAUCCAGCCAUGCCGCGUGAGUGAAGAAGGCCUUCGGGUUGUAAAGCUCUUUUUACCAGGGACGAUAAUGACGGUACCUGGAGAAUAAGCCCCGGCAAACUUCGUGCCAGCAGCCGCGGUAAUACGAAGGGGGCUAGCGUUGUUCGGAAUUACUGGGCGUAAAGCGCACGUAGGCGGAUUGUUAAGUCAGAGGUGAAAUCCCGGAGCUCAACUUCGGAACUGCCUUUGAUACUGGCAAUCUAGAGUCCGGAAGAGGUUAGUGGAAUUCCCAGUGUAGAGGUGAAAUUCGUAGAUAUUGGGAAGAACACCAGUGGCGAAGGCGGCUAACUGGUCCGGUACUGACGCUGAGGUGCGAAAGCGUGGGGAGCAAACAGGAUUAGAUACCCAAGUAGUCCCUGAGCGGGCUGGCAAGGCGCAU